GCAGACUCACAGAAACAGAUGGCUAGACAUGGAAGAAAGGCUAGAUUUUGAUUUUUUGCUUUAUAAAUUCAGCAAAUUGGGCACAGCAGCAAUAGUCAGAUUCUAUCUGGUUCACUCCCAGCAAACCAGACUCUUGUGGAUCUGCACGGCUUCACGUGGCUUCAUUUCUUUUCCAAGAUGAUCUCAUCUUGCAAAUGGGCUUUCAUCCUGAUCAGGUAAAGAGAAAAGCUGGUGACUUGGCAGGAUUAUUCUUGCCUGUAAGAAUAUGAAUCAGGGCUCCACACUUUCCGGACAUUUAUCUUUGUUUUCGAUCAUUUGAGGCUGAAUCCACACCUUGGCCACUCAUCCCUCCACUGUUCUAUCUUUCCUUGAUAAGAAGAGAGUAAGAAGUAGACGGGCUGUGAGUUAUGUUGUUAGCACGAAGGGCCUUUCUACAUUGUUUUUUCUCUUUUUACAGUUUAUCUUACAUUCCCAGUCAUCCAGCAGAAUUGUAAACUGGUAGUUUGAAGGGGCUGGUACAGCUCUUCUCUCAGAUAGUCCUUAUGCCUCUGACAGAAUGCUUCCUGGCCAUGGGACUGACUGUCGAGAAAGACAAUAUAGCCUGUGGGAUGUGGCUGGUUUGGGAGGUUUUUGAGUCUUGACGCUGUGAUUUGGUGUUAUGUGUUCUUGUCCUCUCUCAACCUAAGUUAUUGAAUUUGCGAAAUGGGGCUAAUAAAGCAUUCAAUUCAGGUUGACAGUAGGCUAGGAGAGCACUGCCACCGUGUCAGCAAGGACAAGGUGUAGCUGCCACACUGCCAAGACCCAGCACCCCCUAAAGUGACUCAGCUAAGAAGGCAGUCCCGGAAGGGCAGCCUAAAUUGUGCCCAAAAGGCACAGAGGUGACCCAGGCUGAUGUUCCAUCAAGCUGUUGGAGCAGCGGGUAGGGGGACCCCUCCCUCAGUGGCUACUCGGGAAGGAGGAGGAAGUAAUGCGCAGGUGCUGAGAUGAUGGCUCCCAUUUCGGACCUGACAUGCAGGAUUUCUGUGACUAUCCGCAAGUUAUUUCAUGUUUUUAAGCUUCAUUUUCUUCAUCUGCAAAUUGAAACAAUAAAAUCUAUUUGGAGAGUUCCUGAGAAGCUUAAAGUAAUGGAGUGAAAGCAUGACAAGGGUUUAGCAAUGGGCUUAAUAUGUAGCAAGUGCCUAAAAAUGGUAGCUUAAGGCAAACAAGUAGCUGGAAGACAGCAGAGUUUGGGGAGAUGGAUCCAUUCCUGGUAGAACCCCUGCCCAUAAGAGGACAGAUGAAAGGGACGGGCUCUCUCUUUGCGAUGGGUACUAGUGAGCGCCAACAAGCCCAGCCUAGCCAUUGGGGCAUGGGCUCAGGCUCUGUUCUUAAGGUGGCCAUGCUGUUGGACGGAAUUAGGAUGUGGAUAUCAGGCUUCAUCCGGAAAUUCUCAGAGACCUGUAUCUUGUACUAUGUGACAGGAUGCCUGAGGCUUUGCAAGGGAGAGUAUUAUGCUGGUUGGCCUGUCGGAGUCUCCAUGAUGCAUCCCCACCACCCACCUCUCCAGUUCUCAGGGUGAGUUUCCUGUUCAAGCAUUUAGGUGGGGACUGAAUGCAACUUUCGAGAAUUGACUUAGAGCUUGGGGGAACCAGGAGGCAGCUGACACUUCCCCUAGUUGCUCACAACUUGUGUUGACUGAAAAAUACUGCCAUAUAAGUCUCUCCAUGACCUGACUUCUCCCCAUGUUUUUAGCCAGGCUCUUCUUCACAAUUUAAGCUUUGAUGAUAUCCCCAUUUAUACCAUGCUGAUUUAUGCCUCCAUAUCUUUGUUCUUCCCAAACCUUCAGCCUGCAAUGCUUUUCCUGCAUUUCUUCAUCUGGACAGCUUUCAACAUUCCUCAAGGCUCAGCUGAGUAAUCACUUCCUCCAGGAUGCCUUCCCUGAGUCCAUGGGAUAAAAAUAGCAACCAAUUGGGGCGCCUGGGUGGCGCAGUCGGUUAAGCGUCCGACCUCAGCCAGGUCACGAUCUCGCGGUCCGUGAGUUCGAGCCCCGCAUCAGGCUCUGGGCUGAUGGCUCAGAGCCUGGAGCCUGUUUCCGAUUCUGUGUCUCCCUCUCUCUCUGCCCCUCCCCCGUUCAUGCUCUGUCUCUCUCUGUCCCAAAAAUAAAUAAACGUUGAAAAAAAAAUUAAAAAAAAAAUAGCAACCAAUUAAUUAGCACUUAACUGAGUACCAGACAAAUGGAAUAAGCAUUCUAUACUUUGCAUCAUGUAAUACUUCAACAACUCUGAGGAAACAGAACCCUCAGAAAGUUGAGUGGCCUGCUCAUGGUCUACCUUAGCGGCUAAGAUACGUUGGAGCCUGGAUUUUAAGUCAUAUGUGCUAAACCCAAAACUGAUGGUUUCUAAUCACUAUGAUAGGUUGCCUCCCUGCACAUACCUUCUUCAAAAUUCCCACAAACCUCUUUGCAAUUUCUCUCUAAUCAUGUGAAAUGGAAGUCAUUCACCUCUGCUAACUCCUCCUAACAGAAGGAAAUUCCCCCAGGACAAAAAUUCUCUGGAUCUAGCUCUUCAUCUCAUACCUGACAUGGAGUGUUCAUUCAGUAAAGGCUAAAGGCCACGUGAAAUAAAUCAAAGGGUACAAAACUUAUUUUUUAAAUGGUGGUGGAGAGAGAGACAUGGGUUCGGAGGAGCUCCUCGUCUAGCAGGGAAUAGGAAAUGAUCAACACGCAAGGUAAUUCAAUCGGAAAAAAGAAAAUUGCUAAGACAAAUUGGUGCUCAAAAGCUAGAUAAGUGUAUGGAAAAAAGCAAACCUUAACCCUUACCUCAAACUAUAUGACAAAAUUAAUCCAACAGUGAUCACAGAUAUCUCUGAACAUAAAAGCUGAAAAUAUAAGGCUUCUAGAAGGAAACCUAAAAGAAUAUAUUUGCACUAUGUGUUAGGCAAAGAUUUCUCAAGACAAAAAAAAAAAGCACUAAAUUAUAAAACAAAUUAUAUUAGACUUAAGAAAAAAUAAUCAUGGGGUGUCUGGGUGGCUCAGUUGGUUAAACAUCUGACUCUUGGUUUCAGCUCAGGUCAUGAUCUCACAGUUUCGUGAGUUCGAGCCCCACAUAGGGCUGACAGCGGGAACUGCUUGGGAUUCUCUUUCUCCCUCUCUCUCUCUGCCCCUCCCUCACUCACACACUCUCUCCCUCUCACUCUCUUCCUCAAAAUAAAUAAAUAAACUUUAAAAAAUUAAAAAAAUAAAAAUAAAUAAAUAAUUCCUAUAAUUAGGUAAGGAAAAUAUAAAGAUAAACAACCCAAUAAAAAAAAUGGGCAACAAACUUGACCAGGCACUUCACAGAGGAAGAUUUGGAAAAGACUAAUAAGUACAGGAAAUACGAUCAAGUUCAUUAAAUUAAUUCAAACUAAAAUCACAAUGAUUUCACAUCUAUGAGAAUGGCUAAAAUGAAAAAACUGCUAAUACUAAAUGUUGGCAAGAAUGUGGAGCAAAGAACUAGACUCAUACAUUGCUGGCACAGCCAUUUUGGAAAAUUAUUUGUCAGUUUCUUAUAAAUUUAGAUACUUGCAUUAUGAUCCAGAAAUUCCACUCUUGGGUAUUUACCCCAGACAAAUGAAAACAAAACUCCAUAAAACUACUUGUUUCUGGAAGCUUAUUCGUUAUAGGCGCAAACUGAAAACAAUUCAAAUGUCCAUCAGUAAGAGAAUAGAUAAACAAAUUGUGGUGCAUCCAUUCAAUGGAAUACUACUCAGCAAUAGAAAAGAAAGGACUGCUGUCACAUAUAACAUGGAUGAGUCUCAAAAACAUUAUUUUGACUGAAAGCAGCCAAUCACAAAAGAGUACAUUCUACAUGAUGCUAUGUGUAUGAAAUUCUGAUAUAAGCAACACGAAUCUAUGAUAAUAAAAAUCAGAGUAAGGGUUGCUAUUGGUGGCAGGUUUGGGCUGAGAAAGGGUAUGAGAAAACUUUCUGGAGUGAUGGAAAUGUUCUAGAUCUCGAUCAGGCUGACUACACAGAUAUAUUGAUUUGUCAAAACUCAGAACUGCAGUCUUAAAAAUCUAUUUUUACAAACAGUUUUAGUUCAAAGGAAGAAAUAGAACCACUGUGCUUUGUUCAGAUCACACUUGAAAUACUAUGUUCAGUUUUGAACACAUCUCAAAAACAAUAAAUCAAACUAUGGGUUGCCAGGAUGCAAUGAGAAAGGUAAGGAAUGGGGGAGGUGCAGGCUGGAGAGAAGACAAAGAGGGAGUGUUGUCCUAUUUAAUCAUCGGGAGGAGAGCUGUGUGGUCGAAUGCCUACAUUUAUUCACCGGGUCUCUAAAAGGCAUAACCAGAACCAGGGGGUAAAAAUUACAAAGAGGAAACGUUUUCUAGACGCCAGGAAAUGAGGCUGCAAAGCAAAGCAAAGCUUGGACAGUCAUCAGAAGGUCGCUGACAGAGCCCGGACAAAAGGUGGAGCAGCCUGGACCGCACGCGCUGUAGGGGUGGAGAAGACUGGAAGGGAGGGUGGAUGUGAGAAAAAGCAGGAAGGAGACUGGGACAUAUGACACAUGUGUUGUGUGUGUGUGUGUGUGUGUGUGUGUGAUAUACAAGGGAGAGCAGCGAAUAGAAAAUGACUCUCCCGUGUUUCCGAAGAAGACACCAUUGAUAUUGGUAUGCGUCAUAGAAUCUUAUGAAUCGGGAAAUUGUGUUUAAAACAUUAGACCUUAAAAUUGUGCUAUUGUGUCUCACUAAGCAAUCAAAAUGGAUUUUAAAGAAAAUGCGACCGAGUCACAGAGCUAUUGGAGACAGGAACCAGAAGCCAAACCACCCACCUGCCUAACCUUUAA
This 4800-nucleotide long non-coding RNA is filed under the name Lynx pardinus (Iberian lynx). Lineage: Eukaryota; Metazoa; Chordata; Mammalia; Carnivora; Felidae. The record is from RNAcentral.